GCCGGGAUGGCGGAAUAGGCAGACGCAGCGGACUUAAAAUCCGCCGGAGAAAUCCUUGUGGGUUCGAGUCCCUCUCCCGGCACCA
RNAcentral lists this transfer RNA (85 nucleotides) under Dehalococcoidia bacterium. RNAcentral describes it as "tRNA-Leu". It matches the Rfam family "tRNA". Rfam says of the family: Transfer RNA (tRNA) molecules are approximately 80 nucleotides in length. Their secondary structure includes four short double-helical elements and three loops (D, anti-codon, and T loops). Further hydrogen bonds mediate the characteristic L-shaped molecular structure. tRNAs have two regions of fundamental functional importance: the anti-codon, which is responsible for specific mRNA codon recognition, and the 3' end, to which the tRNAs corresponding amino acid is attached (by aminoacyl-tRNA synthetases). tRNAs cope with the degeneracy of the genetic code in two manners: having more than one tRNA (with a specific anti-codon) for a particular amino acid; and 'wobble' base-pairing, i.e. permitting non-standard base-pairing at the 3rd anti-codon position. Lineage: Bacteria; Bacillati; Chloroflexota; Dehalococcoidia. The record is from RNAcentral.